Molecule: non-coding RNA, 83 nt
Organism: Asterias rubens (European starfish)
Lineage: Eukaryota; Metazoa; Echinodermata; Asteroidea; Forcipulatida; Asteriidae
Source: the annotation of a RefSeq genome assembly
GUGGAGGUGGCUGAGUGGUUAAGGCGUCAGACUUAAAAUCUGAUGGGGUUCUCCCCUCGCAGGUUCGAAUCCUGCCCUCUGCG